Molecule: ribosomal RNA, 878 nt
Filed under: Enterococcus faecium
Lineage: Bacteria; Bacillati; Bacillota; Bacilli; Lactobacillales; Enterococcaceae
Description: partial 23S ribosomal RNA
Rfam family: Bacterial large subunit ribosomal RNA
Source: RNAcentral
UAAGGGCGCACGGUGGAUGCCUUGGCACUAGGAGCCGAUGAAGGACGGGACUAACACCGAUAUGCUUUGGGGAGCUGUACGUAAGCUAUGAUCCAGAGAUUUCCGAAUGGGGGAACCCAACAUCUUUAAUAGGAUGUUACGAUUGUGUGAAUACAUAGCACAUUCGAGGUAGACGCAGAGAACUGAAACAUCUAAGUACCUGCAGGAAGAGAAAGAAAAUUCGAUUCCCUGAGUAGCGGCGAGCGAAACGGGAAAAGCCCAAACCAGCAAGCUUGCUUGUUGGGGUUGUAGGACUCCAAUAUGGUAGUUCUUUCAGAUAGUCGAAUGACUUGGAAAAGUCAGUCAAAGAGGGUAAAAACCCCGUAGACGAAAUGUGGAAGACACCUAGGAGGAUCCUGAGUACGGCGGAACACGAGAAAUUCCGUCGGAAUCCGGGAGGACCAUCUCCCAAGGCUAAAUACUCCCUAGUGACCGAUAGUGAACCAGUACCGUGAGGGAAAGGUGAAAAGCACCCCGGAAGGGGAGUGAAAUAGAACCUGAAACCGUGUGCCUACAACAAGUCAAAGCCCGUUAAUGGGUGAUGGCGUGCCUUUUGUAGAAUGAACCGGCGAGUUACGAUUGCAUGCGAGGUUAAGUUGAAGAGACGGAGCCGCAGCGAAAGCGAGUCUGAAUAGGGCGUUUGAGUAUGUAGUCGUAGACCCGAAACCAUGUGAUCUACCCAUGUCCAGGUUGAAGGUGCGGUAAAACGCACUGGAGGACCGAACCCACGUACGUUGAAAAGUGCGGGGAUGAGGUGUGGGUAGCGGAGAAAUUCCAAACGAACUUGGAGAUAGCUGGUUCUCUCCGAAAUAGCUUUAGGGCUAGCCUCGGAAUUGAGA